CUGCUCUAUGAAAAUUUAAAUGGCUGAAGCAUAUUAACUGGACUAAGGUAGCAUAAUCAUUUGUUUUUUAAUUGAAAGCUGGAAUGAAAGAUUGAAUGAAAUAUAAACUUUUUUUAUAUAAGAAAUUAAAUUUAUUAUUUAAAUAAAAAAAUUUAAAUAUAUUAAAUAGACGAUAAGACCCUAUAAAAUUUUAUAAUAUCUUAAUAAUUAAAAUUUUUAAUUAUUAAAAAUAUUAUUUUAUUGGGAGGAUAGGAAAAGUUUUAACUUUUUUUUAUAAAAAAAAUUAAUAAAUUAAUAAAAGAACCAUUAUUAAUGAUUAAAAAAUAAAUUACUUUAGGGAUAACAGCUUAAUGUCUUUAGAUAGUUCAAAUUGACAAAGAUGUUUAAGACCUCGAUCUUGAAUUA
This 405-nucleotide ribosomal RNA is filed under the name Pelecinus polyturator. RNAcentral describes it as "partial 16S ribosomal RNA". The record is from RNAcentral. Lineage: Eukaryota; Metazoa; Arthropoda; Insecta; Hymenoptera; Pelecinidae.